AUGGCCAGCAGGAGGGGAGGCCAUGGAGAUGAGGGAGACCAGCCGGAUCAGGGAGAGCCGGCGGACCAGGGAGGACAGGCAGACCCCCGUGGCUACCAGGAGGAGACCUUCGCGGAUCGUGAGGAUUGGGACAGGUAUCGCGCGGAUGAGGGUGUUCUUCCAGGAAACGCGCCGUUGAACUCUUUCCUCGCGAGGAUCGCACGAGGGUUGGCAGCCAAAGCGCGCCAAGGAAGGCAGAUGGGACAGCACAUAUUUAACUACUUCAAAGCUGGGGACAAGGACAGCACCAACAUCUCGAGGGAUGAUUUCCUUGAAUUCAAAAAUCUUCUGGAGCUGUACCUAAAAGAAAUUAACUCUUCCAUAAAAGUCUCCAGUGCUGAGAAUGCCCUUGCGAUUGAGAAGUGCAUCGGUGCUCACUCCAAGGAUAUGGAGCACCUUCUGCAGCAGUUUGAAGCAAUGUCUGGUCAUGUUAAAGAGGCGGUGUCUAUGGGAGCGCGUGCUGAGAAGACAUCUUCAGAGAAUGCAGAAAAGAUUAUCCAGUUGCUUACGGAAAUUUCUGUCACUUUGAGGGAAGUUCCGCCUAGCAGUACUGGUUCAUUUGCUGACAGAUUCAUGCGGAUGUCGAAGUAUCCAUUCGAGGCAGGCCAGGUCUAUGAGCAGUUUCGACAGUACUUGGAAUUUCUUGGCGGAUUCUUAUUGCUUCUAGGAGUUCUGGAUCCAAAGGAUGAGCAACUGAAGGAGAGGUUCUUUGAAAAGUUCUUACCAGACACCACACCUGGGAUUUAUGAAGAUAUCUGCCGACAGGGUCGAGACCUCAUGUACAAGGAUUUCGCCUCUGACCUGAGCUUUCAGAUGUCAAUGCAGUGUGGUGAUGGUUUUGUUCUUACUUCAUCUGCCAAGAGAUCUCCAAUGGAUGACAAUGUGCAUGGCUGCCAGCUGAGACUUCGGCAGCCCCAACUGAGCCUUGAUUUCAAAUUUGAUACAACAAAACAUGUGAGCGCUAUAGUAUCUUUCCCUGGAGUGCUAGGCUGUGAUGUGAACCCUGUCCUUAAAGUCUGUUACCCAUUCCGGGACUCUUCGUUUAAUUUGGAUGCUCUUUAUCGGCAAGCUGGCUUUCGUGCAAUUGCUUCUAUGCACCCUGUUCGUGGUGAUGCAUUGGUGUCUCUGUCGGGCCUUUUUGGAUCCAGGAGGUUGAACUAUGGGGGUCUUAUGAAGAUGAAUUUGGGGAAUGAGGUGCCUAACUUUUAUUCCCUUGGUUGUUCCUUCAACACUGAAGCUUUCUCGUGUGGCAUCCAGUGUAAUAGCCAUGCUCAGGUGUUGAUGCUGUUAAAUCACAAGCUGGAGCCCUGUUCCUUAUUCAGAGACGCUGUGAGGAGGACCAACCUGGGAGGGGAUCUGUAUGAUCUGCUGGCACGGACCACUCCAUCGCAAACUAUGGUUGGCGCGCAAGCAAUUCAUUGCCUGGCAACUGGCUCGAGUGUGGUCAUGGUUGGUUGCGAGUAUGCUGAUCCGAGCACCCGCUUCAAGCUACGUGUGGGCAGUUCAGGCAUACUUAGUGCUGUUGUGAAGCACAAGUUUUUUGGGUCAGCAUGGGUUGCGCUGAAGUCACACUUCAACUUGAGGAAUAUCCGUGCCGCUCCUCGCCUCGGCCUGUCUAUCAGCAUCGGGGAGGCAUCGUCGUCAUCAUCUUAG
This 1692-nucleotide ribosomal RNA is filed under the name Triticum aestivum (bread wheat). RNAcentral's name for it is "partial small subunit ribosomal RNA". The record is from RNAcentral. Lineage: Eukaryota; Viridiplantae; Streptophyta; Magnoliopsida; Poales; Poaceae.